Non-coding RNA from Cinara cedri, 556 nucleotides. The record is from the annotation of a GenBank genome assembly. NCBI's taxonomy places the organism in Eukaryota, Metazoa, Arthropoda, Insecta, Hemiptera, Aphididae.
CCUACCCAAUAACCAAAAUAAAGUUAUAAUAUAAAGCAAUGAUAAAUAUUUCAAUGUGACACUAUAUGAUCAUCCGUAUAGUCGCAAAAGCACUAGUAUGUAAUCGGAGUAAAUCAUGUUGACAACGAUAAGAAAAAUUGUAUAGUUUUUAUCGUAAAUGACGCGGCGUUGUUAUGAUCGAAUGUCAACACGGCACAUGUCAAUAACGCAUUAUAAUAUACCCGCCCCUCGUGAAUAUUAUUUCAGCUUCCUUCUUAAUCGUUAAAUCGGGUUGAACCUCACACAGAAAUAUGAUUCGCACGAGUUCCUGGAUCUGGUGAACAUAUCAUAGGCACCAACUUAUCACCGACGACGGAAAUUACUAUUAAGAGGGGUUCAAUCAAUUUUUCAUAUAUUAGGGACGGCGCGAACGCAGUCCCAGCUACCAAAAAUUAUGCGCCCGAGGUAUCCACAUUAGGGAUACUCGCAGGGGUCAACCUACUCUAUGUGCAAUGAGUAAGUCUCUCCCCGGAGGAACCGCCAAAUUUGAUCACGGUUGACCUCUACGCCAGGUAAG